GAAGGUAUAGCUCAAGUGGCAGAGUGCAUGCUUAGCAUCCACAAGGUCCUGGGUUCAAUCCCCAGUACCUCCU
Molecule: transfer RNA, 73 nt
Organism: Camelus ferus (Wild Bactrian camel)
Lineage: Eukaryota; Metazoa; Chordata; Mammalia; Artiodactyla; Camelidae
Rfam family: tRNA
About the family: Transfer RNA (tRNA) molecules are approximately 80 nucleotides in length. Their secondary structure includes four short double-helical elements and three loops (D, anti-codon, and T loops).
Source: Rfam